GAUGAACGCUAGCGGCAGGCCUAACACAUGCAAGUCGAGGGAGAGGUUAUCUUCGGGUAACCAAAACCGGCGCACGGGUGUGUAACGCGUAUACAAUCUGCCUUUCACAUAGGGAUAGCCCGAAGAAAUUUGGAUUAAUACCUAAUGGUAUAUAAGAGCGGCAUCGUUUUUAUAUUAAAGCUACAGUGGUGAAAGAUGAGUAUGCGUUCUAUUAGCUAGUUGGAGAGGUAACGGCUCCCCAAGGCGACGAUAGAUAGGGGUUCUGAGAGGGAUGUCCCCCACACUGGUACUGAGAUACGGACCAGACUCCUACGGGAGGCAGCAGUGAGGAAUAUUGGACAAUGGUCGGAAGACUGAUCCAGCCAUGCCGCGUGCAGGAUGAAGGUCCUAUGGAUUGUAAACUGCUUUUGUAAGGGAAGAAUAAGGAGUACGUGUACUUUGAUGACGGUACCUUACGAAUAAGCAUCGGCUAACUCCGUGCCAGCAGCCGCGGUAAAUACGGAGGAUGCGAGCGUUAUCCGGAAUCAUUGGGUUUAAAGGGUCCGUAGGCGGGCUGAUAAGUCAGAGGUGAAAGCGCUUAGCUCAACUAUCAACUGCCUUUGAACUGUUAGUCUUGAAUGAUUGUGAAGUAUUGUAAUGAGAGGAGUAGC
This 650-nucleotide ribosomal RNA is filed under the name uncultured Capnocytophaga sp. Its description in RNAcentral is "bacterial SSU rRNA". It matches the Rfam family "Bacterial small subunit ribosomal RNA", at positions 28 to 679 of the family's 1533-position model. Lineage: Bacteria; Pseudomonadati; Bacteroidota; Flavobacteriia; Flavobacteriales; Flavobacteriaceae. The record is from RNAcentral.